This 495-nucleotide ribosomal RNA is filed under the name uncultured bacterium. Its description in RNAcentral is "partial 16S ribosomal RNA". It matches the Rfam family "Bacterial small subunit ribosomal RNA", at positions 28 to 508 of the family's 1533-position model. The record is from RNAcentral.
GACGAACGCUGGCGGCGUGCUUAACACAUGCAAGUCGAACGGUGAAGCGCCUUCCUUUUUGGUUGGUGUGGAUGAGUGGCGAACGGGUGAGUAACACGUGAGUAACCUGCCCCCUUCUUCUGGAUAACCGCAUUAAAGUGUGGCUAAUACGGGAUAUUCUGGUUCUGUCGCAUGAUGGGUCUGGGACAGAUAUUGUUUCUGUGGGGGAUGGGCUCGCGGCCUAUCAGCUUGUUGGUGGGGUGAUGGCCUACCAAGGCGGUGACGGGUAGCCGGCCUGAGAGGGUGGACGGUCACGAGGGGAUUGAGAGACGGACUAGGAUUCUAAGGGAGGCAGCAGUGGGGAAUAAGGCAGAAUGGGCGAAAACCUGAUGCAGCGACGCAGCGUGAGGGAUGGAGGCCGUGGGGUUGUGAACCGCUUUCGCGAGGGAAGCAGGCUUGGCUCGUUUGUGGGUGGGUGGACGGGAGCUGGAUAAGAAGCGCCGGCUAACUAAGUGC